RNAcentral lists this ribosomal RNA (253 nucleotides) under uncultured bacterium. RNAcentral's name for it is "partial 16S ribosomal RNA". It matches the Rfam family "Bacterial small subunit ribosomal RNA", at positions 524 to 776 of the family's 1533-position model. The record is from RNAcentral.
UACGUAGGGUGCGAGCGUUAAUCGGAAUUACUGGGCGUAAAGCGUGCGCAGGCGGUUUUGUAAGCCAGAUGUGAAAUCCCCGGGCUCAACCUGGGAAUGGCAUUUGGGACUGCAAGGCUGGAGUAUGGCAGAGGAGACUAGAAUUCCUGGUGUAGCAGUGAAAUGCGUAGAUAUCAGGAGGAAUACCGAUGGCGAAGGCAGGUCUCUGGGCCAAUACUGACGCUCAUGCACGAAAGCGUGGGGAGCAAACAGG